Non-coding RNA from Anas platyrhynchos (mallard), 1160 nucleotides. Lineage: Eukaryota; Metazoa; Chordata; Aves; Anseriformes; Anatidae. The record is from RefSeq and is a predicted model, not a curated record.
UGUGGGAGCUGGUGGGGCAGAGGAUAUCCCUGUCCUGGGCCAGGGAGCAGGGCAGGGCAGGACGAGGCUGGGACCCAACCUCGAGACCCUUCAUCUCUUCAGGAUGAAUGUCCCAAAGCAUUUGUACAUCAGAGCACUGGGACAGCCCUCUUGGAACUUGGAAUUCAGCUUCAUGGGAGAGCUGUGGACUCACCCAUUUGCUGUUCCUCUACUCACAACCUGUUAAUCACAGCAGCCAUCAGACAGAUAGAGUCCUAUUUGUCACACCCUGGCCUGGCAAACACAAAACUAUUCCUGUAAGGUUAACAAUAGAUAAAAGAAAAAUAAACCGCAUGAUUUAGUAUGUCACUCACAAGUUGAUUACUAAAUAGUGAGAGGAGAGGGAGAGAAAAAGAUUUUAUCCUUCUAAGGGACGUUUUGCUGCUGGGAUCUCCCCCAGCCAAUCUGCUGUGCCCAUGGCAGGCAAUUCCUGCCCAGGCAGCUCAGGCUGCGUACCCGCUGUGCCCCCGGGUGUCACAAGCUGUGUUGCGUGAGGAUAACGGUGACGAUUGCAACAGCCCCAGCAGGCACCUCAGCAGCCAGGAGGGAUGAGGAGCAACCCCACCAUGCCCAUGGGUCACUGGCUGAUUGGCCAAGGGCAGAGGCGGCAGCAGGAGGAAGCCCAGCUCCCACCCACCAGCAGCGGGAUAAAAGCCUCACGUUUAGGGCAAAGCAGCACUCUCUGGCCGCAGGAGCACGUGGACACGAGGGAUUCCUCUUGGCUCUCUUUGUGCCUGAGCACCAGGACCUCCAUCAGCAGCCCCGUGAAGACCUGCUCCGGGCAUCAGCCAUGAAGAUCCUGUUCCUACUCCUCUCCUUCUUCCUCCUCUUUCUCCAGGGUGAUGCAGUCGGAAAUUCUUGGCUCUGUGUAAGAAGAGGGGGAAAUUGUCGUUUUGGGAGGUGCCAGUUUGCUGAAAGACAGAUUGGGAGAUGCUCAGCUUUCCAACCCUGCUGCGGCAGGACAUGGGGUUGAUGUGCUGAAUGCUGUGAGCAGGAUGUCCCCCUCGCUUCUCACUCCUGGAAACAGCUGCUGACGUCCUGUUCCAUGGGCCUGCUGUGGUUUGGCCACAGGCUGCUUUUCCCUGCUCAAAUAAAGGCGUGCAGUUUGGCAUUGCAGCUGC